UACGAGGGGUGCAAGCGUUAUUCGGAAUAAUUGGGCGUAAAGGGUGCGUAGGUGGCAUUCUAAGUCAACUGUUAAAUCUCCCGGCCUAACUGGGAACAUGCAGUAGAUACUGGUAUGCUAGAGGGUGGAAGAGAGAAGUGGAAUUCUCGGAGUAGCGGUAAAAUGCGUAGAUCUCGAGAGGAACACCAAUGGCGAAGGCAGCUUCUUGGUCCAUACCUGACACUGAGGAACGAAAGCGUGGGGAGCAAACAGG
This 253-nucleotide ribosomal RNA is filed under the name uncultured bacterium. Its description in RNAcentral is "partial 16S ribosomal RNA". It matches the Rfam family "Bacterial small subunit ribosomal RNA", at positions 524 to 776 of the family's 1533-position model. The record is from RNAcentral.